Molecule: ribosomal RNA, 427 nt
Filed under: uncultured bacterium
Lineage: Bacteria
Description: bacterial SSU rRNA
Rfam family: Bacterial small subunit ribosomal RNA
Source: RNAcentral
GUGAGGAAUUUUCCGCAAUGGGCGAAAGCCUGACGGAGCAAUGCCGCGUGAAGGAUGAAGGCCUAUGGGUUGUAAACUUCUUUUCUCAGAAAAGAAUUAUGACGGUAUCUGAGGAAUAAGCAUCGGCUAACUCUGUGCCAGCAGCCGCGGUAAGACAGAGGAUGCAAGCGUUAUCUGGAAUGAUUGGGCGUAAAGCGUCUGUAGGUUGUUUAAAAAGUAUUCUGUCAAAGAUUAGGGCUUAACCCUAGAUAGGCAGAAUAAACUUUUAAGCUAGAGUUUGGUAGAGGCAGAGGGAAUUCCCGGUGGAGCGGUGAAAUGAGUAGAUAUCGGGAGGAACACCAAAGGCGAAGGCACUCUGCUGGGCCAAUACUAACACUGAGAGACGAAAGCGAGGGGAGCAAAUGGGAUUAGAAACCCCGGUAGUCCC